This 465-nucleotide ribosomal RNA is filed under the name uncultured bacterium. RNAcentral's name for it is "partial 16S ribosomal RNA". It matches the Rfam family "Bacterial small subunit ribosomal RNA", at positions 339 to 795 of the family's 1533-position model. The record is from RNAcentral.
CUACGGGGGGCACCAGUGAGGAAUUUUGCGCAAUGGGCGAAAGCCUGACGCAGCAACGCCGCGUGAGUGAUGAAGGCCUUCGGGUCGUAAAGCUCUGUCAAGUGGGAAGAACCUAUGUAAUGUUAAUAUCAUUAUAUACUGACGGUACCACUGAAGGAAGCACCGGCUAACUCCGUGCCAGCAGCCGCGGUAAUACGGGAGGUGCAAGCGUUAUUCGGAAUCAUUGGGCGUAAAGGGCACGUAGGCGGCCUGGUAAGUCAGAUGUGAAAGCCCGGGGCUUAACCCCGGAAGUGCAUUUGAUACUGUCAGGCUUGAGUAUGGGAGAGGGAAGUGGAAUUCCUGGUGUAGAGGUGAAAUUCGUAGAUAUCAGGAGGAACACCGGUGGCGAAGGCGACUUCCUGGACCAAUACUGACGCUGAGGUGCGAAGGCGUGGGUAGCAAACAGGAUUAGAUACCCCUGUAGUC